Molecule: long non-coding RNA, 1851 nt
Organism: Nasonia vitripennis (jewel wasp)
Lineage: Eukaryota; Metazoa; Arthropoda; Insecta; Hymenoptera; Pteromalidae
Exons: 7
Source: RefSeq, a predicted model, not a curated record
CGAAAACAAAACAAAAGCGAUUGACGUCAGAAUUGUGACGUAAGUAUAGAAGAAUGUCAAAAAACUGCUUGAUUUACAGCACAUCAUAUAAGCCUCGCGAAAUCGACAAGCGAACGAACUCGGAAUUGAAGAGCUGCGAGAGCAACACCUCUAUCUACUCUCCCCCCGCCGUCCGGCGUAGACAAGACAUAUCUCCUAAUAUCCAUGUAUAUAUUUAGAGUAUUUAUACGAGUAUAAAAAACUAUUGUGGUUUUUUUCUCCUUCCUUACACACAACUUGCCUCGGGAAGACCGGUAGAUUCAAUAUCAAUCUAUUUCUGAAUAUCCACUAAGUUGUCAUCCAGGGUCUACUGCAGGUGCUUAUGUGGUGUCUGCUGCUGCUGUGCUGCAUACAAUUCUUACUACUGCUACUCAUCGAGGAUCUACAGCUGUGCAUCCAGGACCCUCUGCAGUUGUACGUCUGAGAUCUACUGCUGCUGCUAUGCAUACAGCUUCUACUGCUGAUUUCCGUUCAGGGUCUACUGUAUGUCUGAUGUUUGCUACAACUUUAUUUUCAUCGUCUACGGUUGCUGCUGCUGUCUCUAUUACCAACAGACGCAUGGUUAUGUAUAAUGAGAUAGGCAUGUAGCUAAAACCCGCGUGUAUAUGCAAAAUACACAUAAUUUUUUAUACUAGAAAAAAUCGUGUAAUCGAAACCCUUGUGUACAAGCGAAUGUACAUAAAUUAUUUAUUAUGAUAAUAUGUUUUGUAGGAGACAGAGAUUCGAAUCGAAGAUGAAGUUGACUUAUUAAUGUCUAGUGAAUUGAAAAUGCUAACACACAUUUUUAAACAAGAAUAAUAAGUUUGUCAUGAACAACAAGUUGAAAAUAUGCAUCAAAUGAUCUACUGGGAAUGGAAGCAAUAUAUGGAGGGUUGUGUUUUACUUUUACAAGUUACAGCAAAUAUAUUUACAAGUAUUACGUCUGAAAUUCUUUUAAGGGAAGUUUUAUCAUCUGCGUAAGGAUAUAACUUUCUUUGCAGCAGAAAUGGCAGCUGUUUGUAGAAGAGUUCAUUUUUCUCAUAAAGAGAUGAAUAUUAAAAUUAUGGGUUUUGAUGAUUUGUUAAUGAAUAUAGAUAGGAUUUGGUCUGAAAUGUAACCAUUUUAUACAAAUAUUCCGAUUGUUACAGAGUUACCAAGGAUCCUUAAAGGAAGCUUUGUACGAGACAUUAAGUGGCAUCCUUGCUUCAGAUAGAGAUGAUCGACAAGCAGCUGAACAACGUUUGGCAGCUUUGGAAGUUACAGAAGAGUUUGGUAUUCACCUUACAGAUUUUGUAAUAGAUCCUAAUGGACCACUAGCCAUUCGAUAACUAGCUUCUGUUUUAUUAAAACAAUAUGUGGAAAACCACUGGAAUCCAGUUGCUGAGAAGUUUCGUCUUCCUGAACUUAAUAAGCCCCAUAUAAAAGAAAAAAUUAAAGCUCUAUUACCUCUUGGGUUACGUCAAUCUAUAAGUAAGGUAAGAACUGCUGUGGCUUAUGCAAUAUCGAGAAUCGCACAUUGGGAAUGGCCUGAAAAUUGGCCAGGACUUUCCGACAUCUUAGUGAGUUCUGGAGAAAAUGAAUUUGCUGUUCAUGGUGCCAUGCGAGUAUUGACAGAAUUUAAUAGAGAAUUGACUGAUACUCAUUUGCCCAAUGUGGGUCCAGUGAAUCUGCAAGAGAUGUAUCGAAUUAUUCAAAGCGAUACUAAGCAUCGCGGGCAAGUUGAAAUAGGCGAGGUCGUCGUUAAAAUAUUUCUAAAUAAUAUAACAGUGACGUUUCUAAAAAUAAAAGUUUAAACCGAUUUUGACUUAUAAUUAUUACGCUUCCGUCUCUUUA